AUUUCAUAAAAUAAUUGUUAAAUUGUAAAUAUUUGAAGCAGGAAUACCGGUACACCUCAAUUUGUGAGGUGUACCGUAGAAGUUCCUUUUUUGAAAGGUAUUGUUCUUUUACAUGUAAAUUUUUAGGGCAUAAGUUCUUGCAAAUAAUAUAUCAUACCUAUUAAAUAGCAUAAAAAUUUGUUCGGAGAGCUCAACCUCUUAAAUGGGUCUUAGUUACCUUGAGUGAUUAGUCUAUGCACUUGUGUGUGGAAAAUACCUUAGUUUACCCCGCAGAACAUAAAAAGAACGUAACAAUAUGUGAAUGAUGUAUAUUUUUUUAAGGGUUAAAUAAGAUUUUAGUCCUUAUAAACAUAUCAAAUGUUUCUUUUAGUCCUCAUAAAUAAAAGUAGCAUGUUUAGGUUCCUAUAAAUGUUUUCAACAUGAAGUUUUAGUGUUCGUUAAUUUAAAUUUGUUUAAUUAUUCAGUAAUUUUUAAAUUUUGAAUGACUUUUUGUAGCCUUAUUUAAAACCUCAUAAAAAGCUCUCACAA
This 528-nucleotide long non-coding RNA is filed under the name Medicago truncatula (barrel medic). RNAcentral's name for it is "lncRNA gene21973". Lineage: Eukaryota; Viridiplantae; Streptophyta; Magnoliopsida; Fabales; Fabaceae. The record is from RNAcentral.